Dreissena polymorpha is the source of this 1676-nucleotide long non-coding RNA. RefSeq lists it as uncharacterized. NCBI's taxonomy places the organism in Eukaryota, Metazoa, Mollusca, Bivalvia, Myida, Dreissenidae. The record is from RefSeq and is a predicted model, not a curated record. The transcript has 2 exons.
UUAAGUUUUGUAAAGGGAAUUUCCAUCAAAAUCAUAUUCUUAGUGUGAAAGGUAUUCAAUAUUCAAACAUAUUCAUUUUAUAUGUCAGUGAUUGCAAAAUUUAAUUUUAUUAACUAAUUCUCAUUUUACCAUUUUCAUUAUAUUUCAUACAUGCCAUAAUUUUUCAGACCAAUUCCGGGACAUUGAGUUAAAUUGUCCGGGACUUUUGUGGAUUUUCCGGGACAUGUAUAAAAUGUAGCGAUAUUUAUUGACAUAGCAUUUGUGGUACGAUUUUUUUUGUUUCACAUCGUUAAUUGCAAAAGUUCGAAAGCCUAUAUCCAAAAUACACUUGAUCUAUUAUCGUCAAAUUAAGCAUUACUACUUCCGUUACUAGAUACAAGCCACGUGUUUUCAGUGUAAGCGUUCUAAACAUAGAUGGUGACGUCACUGCAGUAUCGUUAUUAAGACCGGUUUGUAACGCGUAGUUGUUGAUACGCCUUUAUUCAUUCAUUCACUGGGGGUUUAGAACAAGACAAUAAUAAACCUAGUGAGGAUGAUGAUUUUAUAUGCUUACUUUUUUACUCAACUUCUUUGUCUGUUAAACGAGCGAACAUAAACUGCUUUUAAUUUUUUACUCAGCGAUGUUGGACUUCAGAUGUGUGAACAACUAUCAUUUGCCCUAACGCAGCGGGAAAUAAUGACGUAGUAGAUUAAAGUCAAUUAACAACUACAUUAAACAAUUCCGCCUUUUUGGUUUGACCGCGAACAUGAGACAAUCGAUAUGAUAACAGGACCCCUGUUAAUUGAUCGAUUUUGACACGUAGCGUAGUCUGCCUAUUCGGGUAGGCAUUGUCAUGGAGACGCUGCAGAUAUACACAGAUUCGAGGUGCAGUUAAGCCUAAGAUAAGGUACAUGUAUAUAUGGAUUUUGUAAAUUCCCGGACAUUUGACAGAUUUCCGGGACAGCGGGACAAGUUCUUCAUUUCCGGGACUGUCCCGGACAAUCCGGGACAUAUGGCAUGUAUGAUAUUUUCUAUGCUUUCAGAACGUCAAAAAAGGGACUUGCUGUUGAAAAUUUGUCAAAGUUAUCUCCUUAAUGUAACAGGUCUAUAAAAUUAGUGUUUUGUAACCAAUUUCUUGUAUGUAAGGUUGUGUAUCGGUUGUGACUAGUUAGACACGCAGAAGUUCCGGUUUAUAAUACUUGGUUUUACGUUUUGAGAUUGACGGUUCAAAUAUCAAUUGGAAUCUUGCAUGUUUUAUGACAUCUUUGUGCCAGCAGUCACAGUGCUAACCUCCCCCAAGGCUGAGAGAGACCAGGUCGAGAGUAGCUUAUACUCCGUAAGUAAGAUGUGCAGUUUGUCAAAGUAACGAUGUAUAAACACUAUUGUUAUUGUCACUGUGUUGUUUUCAGGAUACCUAUGUUUUAAGAUAAUUAAUGUUAUCUUAAUAUGCCAUUUGUAUGUUAAUAUGUUGAUUGGAACCACCACACAGCAUACCAUUAUGUUUUAAAGAUGAAUAUGAGUUUGAUGUGUAUGUAUAAUUAUUGAGUAUGGUUACCACGGUAACCAUCUAUAAUUUGUAACCUUAUUAUUAAAUAUGCGUAUUGAUAAUUUGUAUAUUUUCAGGACGGUCAGUUACAGAUCAGUUUCAACGCUCGUAUAUUUAUUAUAAAUCCACUCAAUAAACUUGUAACUGUCA